This 600-nucleotide long non-coding RNA is filed under the name Trifolium pratense (red clover). RNAcentral describes it as "long non-coding RNA (TPRA_LNC009219)". Lineage: Eukaryota; Viridiplantae; Streptophyta; Magnoliopsida; Fabales; Fabaceae. The record is from RNAcentral.
AUUUACACAUCACUAACCAAUUAAUUAAAUCAAUCAUACAACAUUAGUUACUUACAAUAUCGGAGAUAUAUUACUAAAUAUUCAACUCACCAUUAGACAUCAUUUAGCACCCACCAAUUAACGCAAACAAAUUAUCACUUAUCAUUUAGUGUGCAAUUAUGCAAACAUCAAUUAACAAUUUAUCAGUCCACAACAUUUCAUCUAUUGAAAUUAAGUAUGCAAUGUCUCCCUAAACACGACCUAUAUGUAUGUGGUACCCAUCAUCAUAAUUUUGGAAAACUUAUUCCAAAUGUUUUAGAUCAUCGUCUCUAAAAUACUCAUCAAUAAACACAACUUAUGAAUGCAUGAAUGUGCAUAUACCAAACAUAUGGUUUUAUCUCAACUACAACAUCAACAUAAUAUGGAUAACAUAAUCCAAAUAUUCUAAAUCAUCGUCUUUAGAAUACACCUACGCAUGAUAAAUCCUUAUUUAUCAUCAUCAAUAAAUUGAACAUCCUAGUUAUAUUCAUGAACAAUCACACCUCGUCAUUGUGCAUACGCACGAAAACACCGUCAUUGUGCAUACGCACGAACACAUCACUAAUACACCAAAAGAAUUCA